This 631-nucleotide long non-coding RNA is filed under the name Ananas comosus (pineapple). RNAcentral's name for it is "long non-coding RNA (ACOM_LNC011096)". The record is from RNAcentral. Lineage: Eukaryota; Viridiplantae; Streptophyta; Magnoliopsida; Poales; Bromeliaceae.
ACAAUGCGCGAAUCUAUCUAUACCUUAACAUUAUUUUUUCUAAUCUUAUUACGUGACAGCCUAUCUUUCACCCUGACCUGCCAUUCUUUUGAACCAAAUGGCUAAGCGGUUUCUUCGGCUUUCCUUCUCUAUAACGUCUACCUCUUUGGUUUCCCGUCUUAUUAAUUUUUUUUUCAUAACGUAUGUCUUUUCGACUUUGCAUCUCAUAAUUCCUUCUUUGUAACGUCGCUACUUCGACUUCUCUCUCAUUAAUUUCUAUUUUCUAAGAAUUGUUGCCCGAGAAGCCUGUGGGCACGGCAAAUGGCGUUCUCGACAACGACCUCACCUACUACGUCCGCUCCCUUCAAGCCCGCAAGCGCACCGUCCUCACUCUCACCGUCAACGUCGAGUGAGUUGAACUCUAACCCUAGCCUCGAACCUUUCUCCCUUGAUGUCGACCACUUAUAUUUGUAAUGUAUAGGACUUGCCGAAAAAGAGUUGAAGGCACUAUGAUAUUUCACGAAAGCAUCGGUUUUAGUAGAGAAUAUUCUAAAUAAGGAUAUAAAGGGGUCCGAUUUUCAUGUAACACAUUUUUUUCUUCUAUAAUUUUUUUUAUCUUUCGUUUUCUUGUGCUACUUCAUAAUGAUUUCAU